This 80-nucleotide non-coding RNA is filed under the name Candidatus Sulfotelmatobacter sp. SbA7. Its description in RNAcentral is "crcB". It matches the Rfam family "Fluoride riboswitch aptamer (crcB RNA motif)". The record is from RNAcentral. Lineage: Bacteria; Pseudomonadati; Acidobacteriota; Terriglobia; Terriglobales; Candidatus Korobacteraceae.
AAAUGAUCAGGCGAUGGAGUUCGCCGCAACCGCCCGGGUCGACUUGGUAAACGGCCCCGGCUGAUAACUCCUACAAACUA